This 227-nucleotide long non-coding RNA is filed under the name Vigna radiata. RNAcentral describes it as "long non-coding RNA (VRAD_LNC014198)". The record is from RNAcentral. Lineage: Eukaryota; Viridiplantae; Streptophyta; Magnoliopsida; Fabales; Fabaceae.
UGAUGGGAAAAGUGGAGAGGAACUCUUGAAAAACUUUUGAGAGUGCAAGCACAGUGUGUAGGUCAGACAAUGACGCUUGAGCGAGCCCUAAGGGGUGUUUAAAAAGUGGAAAUGGGCCGCCAACGCUGAGCUGUUUAAAAAGCCCAAAUUUGCCUCUGCAACGCCACUGCUCAACGCUAGUUUCACCACUGAGGGGUUGGCAUGAUUUAAAAUCUUUCACCCUUUUU